UAGGGAAUCUUCCACAAUGGACGAAAGUCUGAUGGAGCAACGCCGCGUGAGUGAAGAAGGGUUUCGGCUCGUAAAGCUCUGUUGGUAGUGAAGAAAGAUAGAGGUAGUAACUGGCCUUUAUUUGACGGUAAUUACUUAGAAAGUCACGGCUAACUACGUGCCAGCAGCCGCGGUAAUACGUAGGUGGCAAGCGUUGUCCGGAUUUAUUGGGCGUAAAGCGAGUGCAGGCGGUUCAAUAAGUCUGAUGUGAAGCCUUCGGCUCAACCGGAGAAUUGCAUCAGAAACUGUUGAACUUGAGUGCAGAAGAGGAGAGUGGAACUCCAUGUGUAGCGGUAG
This 336-nucleotide ribosomal RNA is filed under the name uncultured Lactobacillus sp. Its description in RNAcentral is "bacterial SSU rRNA". It matches the Rfam family "Bacterial small subunit ribosomal RNA", at positions 355 to 684 of the family's 1533-position model. Lineage: Bacteria; Bacillati; Bacillota; Bacilli; Lactobacillales; Lactobacillaceae. The record is from RNAcentral.